AAAGCCCAUAUGAAUACUAAGGCGCCCGUACCGGAAACCGACACAGGUGGGUGGGCAUAAAUGUGCCAAGGCGCGUGAGUGAAACCUCGUUAAGGAACUCUGCAAUCUAGCCCCGUAACUUCGGAAGAAGGGGUGCCCACUUUUAGUGGGUCGCAGUGAAAUGGGUGUACCGACUGUUUAUCAAAAACACAGCACUCUGCUAAGUCGUAAGACAACGUAUAGGGUGUGACACGUGACCAAUGCGGAAAGAUUACGGUAAGUGGUUAGGCGCAAGCCGAAGCUACGAGCCCAAGUCCCCGUGAAUGUCGGCCGUAACAAUAACGGUCCUAAGGUAGCGAAAUUCCUUGUCGGGUAAGUUCCGACCUGCACGAAUCGUGUAACGAGUGCACCGCUGUCUCAACGAGGAGCUCAGCGAAGUUGUAAUGGCGGUGAAGAUGCCGCCUACCCGCAGCAGGACGGAAAGACCCUAUGCACCUUUACUGUACGCUGUUACUGUGUUUUCGAUUUUCAUGCUUAGCGUAAGUGGGAGACUUUGAAUCGCUUCUUUCGGGGAGCGACGAGUCGUCAAUGAAACACCACCCUUGGAAAUUGGAAACUCUAACCCUCACCCAUGAUCUGGGGAGGGGACACUGGCAGCCGGUCAGUUUUACUGGGGCGGUAUCCUCCUAAAGAGUAACGGAGGAGUACGAAGGUUGGCUCAACCUGGUUGGUAAUCAGGUGACGAGUACAUGGAUAUAAGCCAGCCUAACUGUGAGACCUACAAGUCGAGCAGAUGCGAAAGCAGGUCCAAGUGAUCCGGUGGUUGAAAGUGGAAUCGCCAUCGCUCAACGGACAAAAGGUACGCUAGGGAUAACAGGCUGAUCGAGUCCAAGAGCUCAUAUCGACGACUCGGUUUGGCACCUCGAUGUCGGCUCAUCACAUCCUGGGGCUGGAGAAGGUCCCAAGGGUCCGGCUGUUCGCCGGUUAAAGUGGUACGCGAGCUGGGUUCAGAACGUCGCGAGACAGUUCGGUCCUUAUCCGCUGUGGGCGCAGGAAAGUUGAGGGGUUUAAACCUUAGUACGAGAGGACCGGGUUUAACGAACCUCUGGUGUUCCAGUUGUCGUGUCAACGGCAGUGCUGGGCAGCUACGUUCGGAAGAGAUAAGCGCUGAAAGCAUCUAAGCGCCAAGCUCCUCCCAAGAUUGACUUUCCCUGAAGAGUCGUGGUAGACCACCACGUUGAUAGGCCAUAGGUAUAAGCGCAGUAAUGUGUUGAGCUUAGUGGUACUAAUAACUCGUUCGGCUUGAUCGA
This 1289-nucleotide ribosomal RNA is filed under the name metagenome. RNAcentral's name for it is "bacterial LSU rRNA". It matches the Rfam family "Bacterial large subunit ribosomal RNA", at positions 1614 to 2925 of the family's 2925-position model. The record is from RNAcentral.